CACUACAUAAUCAUUCAUUAUCUUUACAAUUAACCAUCUAAAGCUACCACAGUUCUUCAAUCAAAGUAUAUAACUACAUAUAUAGAGAGAGUACACUUCCUAAUUUCGUCUCUUGUCUUCCGUAAACGUAGCAAAAAAAUUUGAUACCCAGUAUUGUAAGACAAGUCGUAGAAGCAGUCUUCCUGCACAUAAUUAAAAAUAAUAACAAAGUCAGAAAAAUAAAGCAAAUAGGUCACUAGAGGCACUUAGUGCCAAAAUCAAUACGCAAAGACAAUAGAGUUGCUACGUGGUACUAAUGUACACCGUAUUGCUCAUAAGCAGAAAAAGACAAUAGGGUUACUAUGUGGUACUAAUGUACACUGUAAAUUAGGAUGCUUGUGUAUAUAAGCCAAUGUAAUUGAGAAGAAUGAAUCAAGAAAUCAUUAUCCCAAAAUCAGGUUCUUAUUUUCUACAGAUUACAUGGACCAUCUUUAUUACAAGGUCAUCUGACUUGAUACUCCAUCCUCAAAAGCAUGUCCAGAAAUACACCAAGAUUUUGUCCUAAAAAAAAAAGUCUAAAGUACACAAACUAAAUGUGAAAUAUGACAUGCAUAAUAAUUUUAACCUAAAGUGCACAUAUCCCCGUAAGAACAUUUCACUCUCAAGUUAAUUACACUAUUUGUAUGGGUCCAAAUAUUAUUGGAACAGUUUUUAUUCUCUCUCCUCUAAUUUGCCAACCUUAAAUUUGUCAGCCCAUUGUACUCUUAGACAUCCUAUAAAUAAAAUACUAUAUACAUAUAAAUUAAAAUACAUAGAAAGCAGAAUUCUUUAUUAGGACAGAGGGAGUACAAUAUGAUCGAAAUGACAGGAAGCUAAAUUGUUCACAACUAAUGCUUACUUGUUCAAAUCAUGACACAAGAUAUAUAGCUACUAAACAAUAAAUUUUGUUUUGCAGGCUGCUUUCAAAAAGAGCAAAUUAUAGAAAGUGGUGGAUUUAGGAAGGCUCCCAAAAAGUUUGACUAAUAAUCAUUAUUACCAGUUUAUUGACUGAAUUGAGACGAAUACAAUUAUGUACAAUUCAUAAACAUAUUUUAUUGGUAAGUAACAAGAUCUUAAAAGUUAAAAACACUAGGGGUAUUUCAAGAAAAAAAUUAUACAUACAUAAAAAUGUUUAUACUGUAUAGAUAUUUAGUACAUAUAAAUUAGCACCAGUACCAAAAAAAAAAGAGAGAAAAAGAAAAGGAGCAUCAGAACUUGUAAUUGUUUUUCCUUUAUAGCAGUGAGCAUUUCUUCCUCUUUUUUCAGCAUUUCCUAAAGAUCAAAAGCCUGUAAUAUGAUUUCAUGGCAGGAUAGUAUAUAUAAAAUAUGAUAAUAACCAUAAAGGAAUACUCGAGCACACGCGGAAGUAAAAAAGAAUUAAGGAUCAACCUUGUAGAUAUCCAAAGAGAUGGUAACAAACCAUGCCUGCAUCCAGGGGGUGGGGAAGAAGGAAAAAAGAUUGCAAUUUCAGAAGUUUAUGGAUAACCAUGGAAGCUUGAAACUAAAAUUAUUCAAGAAAAAUUACAUUUAGGCAAAUUAUUUCUAAUACAAUAUUAACAGUAACACAAAUUUUGAAGAAAGUUAUGCACUAUCUAUAAGCAUGUUCAUAGUCAGGAAGUGAUUGUGUUAAAGAAUAUCUUUGAGAACAGUCAAAACAGGUCUGGCAGAUGCAGUAGCAACCAACUGAUUAUGAUGCAACUGCAAUAGAAAGCAUUGACAUAUAGAAAGUAAACUAUUAUACCCCUCAGAAUUACAAAACAUAAACACUUAGAUUGUUGCAGGAAUGUUACUCACAUCAUAGAUAAGCUACCAUGUAUGGUACACAUUACUGCUCUAUGAUAACUUUUUCCUUGAGAUUUUCAAGAUAUUGACGGUGUAUAUUUUGGAACCACAUUUCCUCACCUAUUUUUGAUGACUUAUGGUCACCUCAAUGCAGGGUAUUAGAAAAGUAAGUAUACAGUUGCACAGUGUGAAGUUGACAAAAGAGCAAAAUGAACUUCUUUUUCAUUUCUUUUACCAGC
Molecule: long non-coding RNA, 2039 nt
Filed under: Panax ginseng (ginseng)
Lineage: Eukaryota; Viridiplantae; Streptophyta; Magnoliopsida; Apiales; Araliaceae
Description: long non-coding RNA (PGIN_LNC002059)
Source: RNAcentral